Molecule: ribosomal RNA, 497 nt
Filed under: uncultured bacterium
Lineage: Bacteria
Description: partial 16S ribosomal RNA
Rfam family: Bacterial small subunit ribosomal RNA
Source: RNAcentral
GAUGAACGCUGGCGGCGUGCUUAACACAUGCAAGUCGAGCGAACAGACGUGUAUCUUGCUCCUCUCACGUUAGCGGCGGGUGGGUGAGCACCCCGUGGAUUACCUCCAUAUAAGACUGCGAUAACUUCGGGAAACCGGACCUAAUACCGGAUAAUAUAUUGCACCGCAGGAUUCGAUAGUGUAUGACGGUUUUGCUGUCACUUAUAGAUCGAUCCGCGCCGCAUUAGAUAGUUGGUAAGGUAACGGUUAGCCACGGCAACGAGGCGUAGCCGACCUGAGAGAGGGAUAGCACACACUGGAACAGAGACACGGCCCAGACUCGGACGGGGAGCAGCAGUAGGGACUCUUCCGCGAUGGGCGAGAGGGUGACGGAGCAACGCGGCGUGAGUGAUGAAGGUCUUCGGACGGGAAAACGCUGUUAUUAGGGGAGAAGAAAUGUGUAAGUAGCAGAGCACAUCAUGACGGUACCUGAUCAGAAAGCCACGGCUAACUACGUG